Molecule: ribosomal RNA, 163 nt
Filed under: uncultured bacterium
Lineage: Bacteria
Description: partial 16S rRNA
Rfam family: Bacterial small subunit ribosomal RNA
Source: RNAcentral
UAGGAAUCUUCCACAAUGGACGCAAGUCUGAUGGAGCAACGCCGCGUGAGUGAAGAAGAUCUUCGGAUCGUAAAACUCUGUUGUUAGAGAAGAACACGAGUGAGAGUAACUGUUCAUUCGAUGACGGUAUCUAACCAGCAAGUCACGGCUAACUACGUGCCAA